CCGGCAGCUCCGCCAGCCGCAUGCCCGGAGCGGAGCAGGAGCGGGAGCAGAACGGCACAAGAAAAAAAAUGAAUUCUGAAAGCUCAGCCCUUACCAUGAGUAGCCCUACUGUAAUAAACCAGUGUGCCAGAGGAGGAAUGGAACAAGAAAAAGUUUG
Molecule: non-coding RNA, 157 nt
Organism: Sturnus vulgaris (Common starling)
Lineage: Eukaryota; Metazoa; Chordata; Aves; Passeriformes; Sturnidae
Source: RefSeq, a predicted model, not a curated record